CUGAAAAACAUGCAAAUCACCAGGCAGGCAUUACAGCAGGGAAUACUUGGGCCCAGAGAGAAACUCUCCCAACAUUUAAGCUGAAUCACACAGAUAUGUAAUGUCAAACUUCGAGCUUGAUGCAUUUCCUCGGGAAAACUUCUAUUCGUCUGUCCUCUCUCAGGACACAUAUGAUGUUGACUACUGAAACACUAGGGUUACAACUUUGAUGUGGGUUUCAACAGGAGUGGUAUCUGUGUUUCCUGAAGGCAAAAACAACUGUGUGAGGAAACGGUCAUUCACUUUGCAUCCUUUCUGCCAACCUGGCUGACAAGGUUUGAAGCCCACCAGGGAAGGCGUUUCAUCCACCCUCAACCAGUGAUGGUGAGAAGAAAUGUUACUGAUGCACUGCAGCACAUGGAGCUCUUGCUAUGACAACCUCUUGGGACUAGAGGGGAAGUUGCUAGAAGCUCUCCAACUGCUGAACAACACAGGCAUUGCUGCUUGAAGCCCUGACUGCUCCUGCAGCUUCUCACUGACAUAAACACUGGCUUUCAGAAAGACAGAGGACAGAUAUCUUCUAUUUUACAGCUUCAGAGAAGGAGAACAAGCGAAUACAAAUAUGCACAUCACUAGGGAACAGAAACAAAUCUUUAUUUUCUGCAAUUGUAUCAAAAGAAUGUAUAGAACUGAUUUCUCUCAAUAAAGACUGUCAUCAACAUGA
Molecule: long non-coding RNA, 703 nt
Organism: Gallus gallus (chicken)
Lineage: Eukaryota; Metazoa; Chordata; Aves; Galliformes; Phasianidae
Exons: 4
Source: RefSeq, a predicted model, not a curated record